Long non-coding RNA from Cyprinus carpio carpio, 2227 nucleotides. The record is from Ensembl. NCBI's taxonomy places the organism in Eukaryota, Metazoa, Chordata, Actinopteri, Cypriniformes, Cyprinidae.
AUCUAAUCAAGAGCAAAGGAUUCAGCAGCACAUCAACAAAACAGUGUUUGUGGGGGAAACGGUUACACUUCACUGCAACAAAACCCAACUUGAUGAAGAUUUCACAUGGAAAAUGAACAACUCGGUUAUUUUUAGGCAGGUCUCUUAUUUUAACAUAACUAAGACAAACUUCAGCUCAAACAGGAUUCACAUCGACCCCGCAGCUCCAAGAGAAUUAACAAUACAUCAAAUACAAGCGUCUGAUGCAGGAAACUACAGCUGCUACCCAGCAGCAAUAAGAUGGACAUUAACAAUAACAGAAAACACAACCAGACCAGAAUCACUCAAACAAAUGCCGCUGUACAUCAUCUUCUCAUGUUCUGGAGUCAUUAUGAUCUGUCUGAUCAUAACCAUCUUCGUUCACAGUAAACUGAAGCAGAUGAAGACAAACUCUGAUCUCUGUGAAACAGACCAGGAGGCAGAAAGUUUAUUUACCACAGAACAGGUGAAGAUGAUCUCUGACUGUGACAAACACACAGUAACAGCCUGUGUUUACAGGCUUCAUACAGUUUCAUAAACGUCUUUUCUUCUCAAGACAGUGGUGUGUGUGUGUGUCUGACACUCAUCAGAUCAUGAACAGGAAGAUGUCUGUCAGUCUUUUUUGUGGAUUAGAGAAUGAAACUGUCCCAAGAUUCAGUCUCUACAGCACGUCUGCAAGCCUUCGAGAUCCUGAGCGGAGAGUAAAACAGUUUACACUCCUUCACAGCCCUUAAACUGAGUGUCCUGUUAUGGCCAGUUUUCAGACCAGGAUUCUUCGUCUGCAUCUCUGUGUUGUUAUUAUUCUCCUGACUCAUGCAGAUUAUUCCAAAUCUAAUCAAGAGCAAAGGAUUCGGCAGCACAUCAACAAAACAGUGUUUGUGGGGGAAACAGUUACACUUCACUGCAACAAAACCCAACUUGAUGAUGAUUUCACAUGGAAAAUGAACAACUCGGUUAUUUUUAGGCAUGUCUCUGAUAUUAACAUAACUAAGACAAACUUCAUCUCCAACAGGAUUCACAUCGACCCCGCAGCUCCAAGAGAAUUAACAAUACAUCAAAUACAAGCGUCUGAUGCAGGAAACUACAGCUGCUACCCAGCAGCAAUAAGAUGGACAUUAACAAUAACAGAUAUCCAGAUCAGACCAGAAUCACUCAAACAAAUGUCGCUGAACAUCAUCAUCAUUAUCAUCUCAUGUUCUGGAGUCAUUAUGGUCUGUUUUAUCAUCACCAUCAGCAUCUGCAUUCACAGGAAACAGAAGACACAAGAUCAACUCCGGUUCAGAGGAUUUAAGUCUCUACAGCACGUCUGCAUGAUCUUGAGCAGUUUAAGCUCCUUCACAGCUCUGUUAUGGCGAAUGUUCAAACCAGGAUUCUUCAUCUGGAUCUCUCUAUCAUCAUUAUUUUCCUGAUUCAUGCAGAUUAUUCAAAAUCUAAUCAAGAGCAAAGGAUUCAGCAGCACAUCAACAAAACAGUGUUUGUGGGGGAAACAGUUACACUUCACUGCAACAAAACCCAACUUGAUGAUGAUUUCACAUGGAAAAUGAACAACUCUGUUAUUUUUAGGCAGGUCUCUUAUUUUAACAUAACUAAGACAAACUUCAGCUCAAACAGGAUUCACAUCGACCCCGCAGCUCCAAGAGAAUUAACAAUACAUCAAAUACAAGCGUCUGAUGCAGGAAACUACAGCUGUUACCCAGCAGCAAUAAGAUGGACAUUAACAAUAACAGAAAACACAACCAGACCAGAAUCACUCAAACAAAUGCCGCUGUACAUCAUCUACUCAUGUUCUGGAGUCAUUAUGAUCUGUCUGAUCAUAACCAUAUGCAUUCACAGUAAACUGAAGCAGAUGAAGACAAACUCUGAUCUCUGUGAAACAGACCAGGAGGCAGAAAGUUUAUUUACCACAGAACAGGUGAAGAUGAUCUCUGACUGUGACAAACACACAGUAACAGCCUGUGUCUACAGUCUUCAUACAGUUUCAUAAACGUCUUUUCUUCUCAAGACAGUGGUGUUGGUGUGUGUGUGUGUCUGACACUCAUCAGAUCAUGAACAGGAAGAUGUCUGUCAGUCUUUUUUGUGGAUUAGAGAAUGAAACUGUCCCAAGAGUAUGUCGCAGAGGAUCUUUAUUUACACAUUUUCAGAAAGAGUAAUACUUUUUACACUUGGAAAAUUUAAUAUUUAAAAAUUUAACAUGCCUAACUAGAUACUA